GUUAUUCCUUUGAAACUGCGAUACUUGGUCCAAGGGAGCAGUGCCCCUGCAGCUCUGUGUGCCUCAGUUCCCACGGGCAGUCCAUUCUGUUCUGCAGGACCCAGAGCAUUGGGGUGACCCGGCUUCCCUGUCACCCUACGGACACUGCCACACCGGGGCAGGGAUGGUGCCUGGCAAGGCCACCUUGGAUGGAGCAGUGGCUUUGAGACCCUCCCAAGGCUUUAUGCCCCAAAAACGCUGCCUGCCUGCCUGUGAGGAGCAGAGAGAGACAUCCCGGGGGAAACCGAGCUCUGGUGUCAGACUGGUCUGGUCCCACAACGCAGUGCGUGCUUCUCCUCUCCAGCUGACAGCCUGGGACAGCCCCGACAUCAGCUGCUGGUGGAGCUCUCUGUGCAGAAAGCCAGUCCUGAACGUGUGGCCUUUGCUCCCCCCAGCUGUCAUAUCCUCCAGGAUCUGCAACAAGUCCUGA
Molecule: long non-coding RNA, 469 nt
Filed under: Zonotrichia albicollis (white-throated sparrow)
Lineage: Eukaryota; Metazoa; Chordata; Aves; Passeriformes; Passerellidae
Description: lncRNA (ENSZALG00000002331.1)
Source: RNAcentral